RNAcentral lists this ribosomal RNA (261 nucleotides) under uncultured bacterium. RNAcentral's name for it is "partial 16S ribosomal RNA". It matches the Rfam family "Bacterial small subunit ribosomal RNA", at positions 793 to 1055 of the family's 1533-position model. The record is from RNAcentral.
GUCCUAGCCGUAAACGUUGGGUGCUAGGUGUGGGCGGAUAUCAACCCCGUCCGUGCCGAAGCUAACGCAUUAAGCACCCCGCCUGGGGAGUACGGCCGCAAGGCUAAAACUCAAAGGAAUUGACGGGGCCCCGCACAAGCGGCGGAGCAUGUUGCUUAAUUCGAUGCGACGCGAAGAACCUUACCUGGGCUUGACAUGCAGGGUGAAACCCGUGAAAGCGGGCGCUCUUCGGAGCCUGCACAGGUGGUGCAUGGCUGUCGU